Molecule: ribosomal RNA, 500 nt
Filed under: uncultured bacterium
Lineage: Bacteria
Description: partial 16S ribosomal RNA
Rfam family: Bacterial small subunit ribosomal RNA
Source: RNAcentral
AUUGAACGCUGGCGGAAUGCUUUACACAUGCAAGUCGAACGGCAGCACGGACUUCGGUCUGGUGGCGAGUGGCGAACGGGUGAGUAAUGUAUCGGAACGUGCCCAGUCGUGGGGGAUAACGUAGUGAAAAUUACGCUAAUACCGCAUACGAUCUAUGGAUGAAAGCGGGGGAUCGGAAGACCACGCGCGAUUGGAGCGGCCGAUAUCAGAUUAGGUAGUUGGUGGGGUAAAUGCCCACCAAGCAAACGAUCUGUAGCUGGUCUGAGAGGACGACCAGCCACACUGGAACUGAGACACGGUCCAGACUCCUACGGGAGGCAGCAGUGGGGAAUUUUGGACAAUGGGCGAAAGCCUGAUCCAGCCAUUCCGCGUGCAGGAUGAAGGCCCUCGGGUUGUAAACUGCUUUUGUACAGAACGAAAAGGUUUCUACUAAUACUAGGAGCUCAUGACGGUACUGUAAGAAUAAGCACCGGCUAACUACGUGCCAGCCGCCGCCGUAA